CGGACGGGUGAGUAACACGUGGACAACCUACCUAUAAGACUGGGAUAACUUCGGGAAACCGGAGCUAAUACCGGAUAAUAUUUUGAACCGCAUGGUUCAAAAGUAAAAGACGGUCUUGCUGUCACUUAUAGAUGGAUCCGCGCUGCAUUAGCUAGUUGGUAAGGUAACGGCUUACCAAGGCAACGAUGCAUAGCCGACCUGAGAGGGUGAUCGGCCACACUGGAACUGAGACACGGUCCAG
Molecule: ribosomal RNA, 241 nt
Filed under: uncultured Staphylococcus sp.
Lineage: Bacteria; Bacillati; Bacillota; Bacilli; Caryophanales; Staphylococcaceae
Description: partial 16S ribosomal RNA
Rfam family: Bacterial small subunit ribosomal RNA
Source: RNAcentral